This 468-nucleotide ribosomal RNA is filed under the name uncultured bacterium. Its description in RNAcentral is "partial 16S ribosomal RNA". It matches the Rfam family "Bacterial small subunit ribosomal RNA", at positions 28 to 507 of the family's 1533-position model. The record is from RNAcentral.
GACGAACGCUGGCGGCGUGCUUAACACAUGCAAGUCGAACGGAAAGGCCCUGCUUUUGUGGGGUGCUCGAGUGGCGAACGGGUGAGUAACACGUGAGUAACCUGCCCUUGACUUUGGGAUAACUUCAGGAAACUGGGGCUAAUACCGGAUAGGAGCUCCUGCUGCAUGGUUGGGGUUGGAAAGUUUCGGCGGUUGGGGAUGGACUCGCGGCUUAUCAGCUUGUUGGUGGGGUAGUGGCUUACCAAGGCUUUGACGGGUAGCCGGCCUGAGAGGGUGACCGGGCACAUUGGGACUGAGAUACGGACCAGAAGACUACGGGAGGAAGCAGUGGGGAAUAUUGCAAAAUGGGCGGAAGCCUGAUGCAGCAAAGCCGCGUGCGGGAUGACGGCCUUCGGGUUGUAAACAGAUUUCGAAUGUGACGAAGCGUGAGUGACGGUAAUGGGUAAAGAAGCACCGGCUAACUACGUG